UGUGGGAACACUUAUUCUUUAUUUAUGCCUUCAAGGCAUUUAGUAUAAACUCAGCUCUUUCCUCUAUUUGAAACAGAUAACAUUUGUGCUUUAUUUUGAAUCUACAAGAAUGGCCUGAAGCAAAACUCUCUGUCCUGUAAAUUUUAAGCUGUCUCUGAAAUCUCAAGUACUAAAGAACUCAGAUGAAUGGAACACAGAAGGGAGAAACUGAGCCAAGGUGACUUACAAGCAACACUGGAAAUGGAUUAGGAAGUGCUGCCUUACCUGCUAUUAGUUAUGUUUUUAGUCACUUAUUGACAGCGUCAAGUCACACAUUCAGAUUUGAAGAGGGCCUCAGAAUUAAGGACCAAACACAGAGGGUCUGGGUGAGAAUAUAAACCUGGAGCACAGUUAUUAUCUCAAUAAAAUAUGUGCAAAAUUAUCCUGAAUACCAC
This 434-nucleotide long non-coding RNA is filed under the name Fukomys damarensis (Damara mole-rat). RNAcentral's name for it is "lncRNA (ENSFDAG00000028351.1)". The record is from RNAcentral. Lineage: Eukaryota; Metazoa; Chordata; Mammalia; Rodentia; Bathyergidae.